This is a long non-coding RNA of Pipistrellus kuhlii (Kuhl's pipistrelle), 1210 nucleotides long. RefSeq lists it as uncharacterized. The record is from RefSeq and is a predicted model, not a curated record. The transcript is spliced from 5 exons. NCBI's taxonomy places the organism in Eukaryota, Metazoa, Chordata, Mammalia, Chiroptera, Vespertilionidae.
UUUUUGGGGGGAGGGGGGAGAGACAAAAUUGAUAUUUACAGAUAGAUUCUUACCUAUAAAAUCCAAAAGAAUACAAAGGUUCAGCUGAAUGAGCAGAUGGAUCAACAUACCAAAAAAAACAAAUUAUCCUAGGGCCCAUUAUGAAAAGUAAACAACAACAAAAGCUGGUAGGUUAAACGUAAAAGGACAUGUGCAGAACAGCACGAAGACCGGAAGACUUCACAGGAACCACAGGGAAGACUCCAAUUCAUGGAGCAAAAACCACAUUACCAGACAGUCUCAAUAUCUUAUUAGUAUCAAAUCUGGGCAAAUUAAUCUACAAAAAAAAACCAACACAAAUCCUGGAAAACUUGGCCACGUGGCCACAAUCUUGUAACAGAACCUGAAAUGAAAUCUCUAACAAAUUCCUGGGGGUAAAUGCUGCCAUUUGUUGACACUCUGUUAUAGAAUUUGGCCCCACGAUUUGAGAUUCCGGGCAACCCCUGGCCCACAGGCUUGACUGCAGGCCUUGCGCCGGAAGAGCCACGUGGGCCCCGCCCCUAUCUGUGUCGUGGACCGAACGUUUCCGGCGGCUGGCGAGUGCACGCAUGCGUGGAGGCCCCGCCCCGCCCACCCCGCUCAGUAGCUCGUGGUCCAGCGUCGGGCGUCAGCUCCCCUCGUUCCUCUGCACCCUCGGGCCCCGGCUGGAGCCGGCCCAGGAAGGUCGUUGCCCCUGCAGUUUACACCAUGGCAGGCAGGUUCUGUAGACAUGAGUAAGAAGUCCCCACGCACAAGUCCUGAAGAUGCCAGGACCAGCAGAAAUGAAGGCAAAUACAAACAAACGGGGGAAAAAGAGCAAAGCCAGAAACACCAACAUAGAUCAACAUCUUACUCUUCAGAUGACCGUGUGUUUCCCUCUUCUUCUUCGUCUUCUGAAAGCGAGACAGAUUCAAGUAUUAACGGACAAAAGAUGAAACAUCAAGAAAAAGAACAAGAAGGAAAAAAGGAGGAAACAACCACAUAUCACCUUCCCAAGAGGGUCUGAAGCCAGACUCAACUUCUUGAUUUCCAAAACUCAGCCUUUCGGUUUAAGUGGCCAAUGAGGAUGCAGAGCCUAAACUGAAACCACAGAAACACUGCAGAGCUGGGGGAAGGUGUCUUGACACACGUCUAGACUCCGGAGAACAGUCUUUGCAUCCUCUGUAACAGGCAAUAAAGGGUUGGGACGUCA